This 406-nucleotide ribosomal RNA is filed under the name uncultured bacterium. RNAcentral's name for it is "partial 16S ribosomal RNA". It matches the Rfam family "Bacterial small subunit ribosomal RNA", at positions 30 to 526 of the family's 1533-position model. The record is from RNAcentral.
AUUGAACGCUGGCGGCAGGCCUAACACAUGCAAGUCGAACGAGUGGCGGACGGGUGAGUACUGUCUGGGAAACUGCCCGCUGGAGGGGGAUAACUACUGGAAACGGUAGCUAAUACCGCAUACCAUCGGAUUUGCCCAGAUGGGAUUAGCUUGUAGGUGAGGUAACGGCUCACCUAGGCGACGGUCCCUAGCUGGUCUGAGAGGAUGACCAGCCACACUGGAACUGAGACACGGUCCAGACUCCUACGGGAGGCAGCAGUGGGGAAUAUUGCAUAAGGGGCGCAAGCCUGAUGCAGCCAUGCCGCGUGUAUGAAGAAGGCCUUCGGGUUGUAAAGGACUUUCAGCUGGGAGGCGUUACCCGCAGAAGAAGGACCGGCUAACUCCGUGCCAGCAGCCGCGGUAAUAC